GUAACAUCUGGAAACAAGGUGCUAAUACCGCAUAACAACGAAAACCACAUGGUUUUCGUUUCUAAAGAAUGGUUUUCGGCUAUCACUUCAGGAUGGGCCCGCCGGUGCAUUAGCUAGUUGGUAGGGUAACGGGCUUACCAAGGCAAUGAUGCAUAGCCGAGUUGAGAGACUGAUCGGCCACAAUGGAACUGAGACACGGUCCAUACUCCUACGGGGGGGCAGCAGUAGGGAAUCUUCCACAAUGGGCGCAAGCCUGAUGGAGCAACACCGCGUGAGUGAAGAAGGGUUUCGGCUCGUAAAGCUCUGUUGUUGGAGAAGAACGUGCGUGAGAGUAACUGUUCACGCAGUGACGGUAUCCAACCAGAAAGUCACGGCUAACUACGUGCC
This 387-nucleotide ribosomal RNA is filed under the name uncultured bacterium. RNAcentral describes it as "bacterial SSU rRNA". It matches the Rfam family "Bacterial small subunit ribosomal RNA", at positions 143 to 509 of the family's 1533-position model. The record is from RNAcentral.